UUUUUUUAAAGAUAUUAAGUAAGUCCCAGAGCCUGUAAAGGUGAACCCACUGGGGCUGGCUGGGGGAAAGGAGGAAGCUUGCUCCAGAAGGAACUGUCUGAGGGAU
Molecule: small nucleolar RNA, 106 nt
Filed under: Canis lupus familiaris (dog)
Lineage: Eukaryota; Metazoa; Chordata; Mammalia; Carnivora; Canidae
Also listed under: 1 other name
Description: Small nucleolar RNA SNORD22 (multiple genes)
Rfam family: Small nucleolar RNA SNORD22
About the family: U22 is a member of the C/D class of snoRNA which contain the C (UGAUGA) and D (CUGA) box motifs.
Source: Rfam by way of RNAcentral